UCCUAAAUGAUUUCUUUGCAUCUGUGUUCCUGGACAUGAAUAUAAGCAUGCAUCCCAAUGGGACUUUAGGGUACUUAGGGAAUUAACUGGAGUCAUAGCAGAUCCAUUGGCACAACUGUUUGAGCAUUCGUGGCCCUCAGGACAGAUCCCAGAGGAUUG
Molecule: long non-coding RNA, 159 nt
Organism: Gavialis gangeticus (Gharial)
Lineage: Eukaryota; Metazoa; Chordata; Crocodylia; Gavialidae
Exons: 2
Source: RefSeq, a predicted model, not a curated record